This 253-nucleotide ribosomal RNA is filed under the name uncultured bacterium. RNAcentral's name for it is "partial 16S ribosomal RNA". It matches the Rfam family "Bacterial small subunit ribosomal RNA", at positions 524 to 776 of the family's 1533-position model. The record is from RNAcentral.
UACGAAGGGGGCUAGCGUUGCUCGGAAUCACUGGGCGUAAAGGGCGCGUAGGUGGCUUGAUAAGUCGGUGGUGAAAUCCCAUGGCUCAACCAUGGAACUGCCGUCGAUACUGUCAGGCUUGAGGGCGGUAGGGGAGAGUGGAACUCCUGGUGUAGCGGUGAAAUGCGUAGAUAUCAGGAGGAACGCCGGUGGCGAAAGCGACUCUCUGGGCCGUUCCUGACACUAAAGCGCGAGAGCUAGGGGAGCAAACAGG